Columba livia (rock pigeon) is the source of this 1219-nucleotide long non-coding RNA. RefSeq lists it as uncharacterized. Lineage: Eukaryota; Metazoa; Chordata; Aves; Columbiformes; Columbidae. The record is from RefSeq and is a predicted model, not a curated record. The transcript is spliced from 2 exons.
GUUCUGCUGCAUUCAAGCCUGGUCUCUAUGUGGUCCUUCCCCAUGUGGAAACUCCCCAAGCUGCCAAAGAAGAAGCAUGUUACUUUGGAGUGGAAGCAGGUGGAAUGAUGGAAAUCUGUACACUCAUGUCCUCCAAGUAAAGGGCAUUGUGGCUGACGAAGCAUAUCUCAGAAUGGCUGAAAGCCAAAAGUUUCACUUGCAUGUUUGAAAUCUUUCCUCCCUAGUUGCUCUCUUAAUAUGUGUCUUUAAAAGCAGAAUAGCUGCACUUCCUAACCUUAUUGCACUAAACCUUGCAACAACUGCAACGUACCUCAGGUCCUUCACAUUGAUGAUACCAUCUGUAAUUGUCCUUGAUGAAGAGGGAGGAAUGACAUUAUUCCUGACAGAUGAGCAAGCCCUUCUGCAAAGCACUGCUAGAGGGCUGCCACAGGCUCUUAGCAUGAUUCCCGGCUUUGCUGCACAAAUGAGGAGACGUUGGAUCGGUAGGAAAGGGACACAGGAUCCAGGCAGGUUUUACACUUGAAACUGUUGGCAUUGUUGCCUGAGGUUGUUUUAUUUAAUGGUGAUUUAAAUUACUCUGUGGCUCUGCUUUUCAGAAUUUAGGCACUGAGCUGUCUCAUCCUGUGCUUCUCAUUUCCUUGCUGUGGCCUGUUUCUAUGGCCCAUAUUUCUUCACCUACAUGGGAGCUGCCUUCAACCAGGCAGAGCAGUGGUCGUUCUUUACAUGAUUCUUAAUCCCCUGCCCAACCCGUUGAUGUAGACCCCAAGAAACAAGGACGUGAAAGCUGCUCUGAGUAGGUCCAAGAGCUGGUAUUUGUCCUCAUGAUGUAAACAAGUGGCAGGGUGCCGUCACCCUCAGCCAAAGAUCCCUGUACAUCAAGGAGUUAAUGAUCCAUGUGACAGAUUACUGAGGAGGCUUUGUCCUCUGCUGUGCUAUAUGCAGAGUUUGCCCUUCAGGGCAAUGUUGCACUGCACAGAUCCCUUGGCCAGAGGCAAAAUUCAUCCAGUCGAUUGUAACUGAUGAGCCUGGAGGCAGCUCCUGCUCGGUGCCCGUGGUUACAUUCUCUGGGUGUACUUCCCUGUGUCUAAAAUGCAGUAAGAAGUUCUCAUGCAAACAUUUUUCCUGUUUCAUAGCAGAAAUUAUAAAUAGAGAUAUUUUAUUUUAUAAAAAUCUUCUAAAAGCUUGAUGGACCAAAAGACACACUUCCAUGAGCAGCAUA